UACGUAGGUGGCAAGCGUUGUCCGGAUUUACUGGGCGUAAAGCGCGUGUAGGCGGCUUUGCAAGUCGGGUGUGAAAGCCCUCGGCUCAACCGAGGAAGUGCGCCCGAAACUGCAGAGCUUGAGUGCCGGAGAGGAUGGCGGAAUUCCCCAAGUAGAGGUGAAAUUCGUAGAUAUGGGGAGGAACACCGGUGGCGAAGGCGGCCAUCUGGACGGUCACUGACGCUGAGACGCGAAAGCGUGGGGAGCAAACAGG
RNAcentral lists this ribosomal RNA (253 nucleotides) under uncultured bacterium. RNAcentral's name for it is "partial 16S ribosomal RNA". It matches the Rfam family "Bacterial small subunit ribosomal RNA", at positions 524 to 776 of the family's 1533-position model. The record is from RNAcentral.